Molecule: ribosomal RNA, 496 nt
Filed under: uncultured bacterium
Lineage: Bacteria
Description: partial 16S ribosomal RNA
Rfam family: Bacterial small subunit ribosomal RNA
Source: RNAcentral
GAUGAACGCUGGCGGCGUGCCUAAUACAUGCAAGUCGAGCGAACAGAUGAGGAGCUUGCUCCUCUGACGUUAGCGGCGGACGGGUGAGUAACACGUGGAUAACCUACCUAUAAGACUGGGAUAACUUCGGGAAACCGGAGCUAAUACCGGAUAAUAUAUUGAACCGCAUGGUUCAAUAGUGAAAGACGGUUUUGCUGUCACUUAUAGAUGGAUCCGCGCCGCAUUAGCUAGUUGGUAAGGUAACGGCUUACCAAGGCAACGAUGCGUAGCCGACCUGAGAGGGUGAUCGGCCACACUGGAACUGAGACACGGUCCAGACUCCUACGGGAGGCAGCAGUAGGGAAUCUUCCGCAAUGGGCGAAAGCCUGACGGAGCAACGCCGCGGGAGUGAUGAAGGUCUUCGGAUCGUAAAACGCUGUUAUUAGGGAAGAACAAAUGUGUAAGUAACGAUGCACGUCUGGACGGUACCUAAUCAGAAAGCCACGGCUAACUACGU